CUGGUUUUAAUUUGAUAAUAAUAUAUACAAGUCAUUUAUACAUACAUGUAUACAUGUAUACAGUUGUGGAACAUUUUUCUGAAUGAAAACCUACAACCCAAGCAGGGGCGUAGCCACACUUGGGCUGAGGUGGGCUGUAGCCCGGGUGAUUCCGGAGAGCGGCGGUGAAGCCAUGGUAGGCGGUGGUGUAAUUCUUCUCCAAUUGCUCGACCAAGCCCUUUCCAGGUAAUGAUUUUGAACAUGAAUUUAUCUUCAAUCUGUAAUUUUAGAACAUGAAUCAACCCUCUACCUUGUUUAAGUCGUAGAUUUUUUUCUCUCUCUUCACAUAUGACUGUUAGAGAGGAUAGAAGGAUUAGAGUAAUCGUUAUCAAAGAGAAUAUUCAAAGUUAAUCUCCAAGCAAACGUGAAACACAAAUUCUUCAAACAAGAGGUAAUAACUUCUACUUAUUAAGUUUUUGAAAAUUAGAGUAAUAAUGUAUUGUGCUUAUUGAGAUUCUUGUGUUUGGGUUGUAAAUUAGUGUGAACAAAGUAUUAUGCAGGACAUUGGAGUGAUAAGAUUGAAAAUUAUGGCUAGAACCAUAUCUAAGUCACACACACAAGAUGUUUGAAAUUUUGCCUCAAUGAGAAUUUAUGCUUAAAAAUCAAAAAUUUAGCAAAGCUUGAUGCUAGGAUAUCUUUAUAUAUGUGUUAUGAUGUUAAUUAAGUUAAUUGAGUGAAUCAAAUCAAGCCCAAAUCAAGUUUUAAAGAAUUUCUAAAAACUGAAUUUGAUGAAAAAAAAAGUGGCCAGCAUGGCAUUUUAAAGCCUAUGUAAUACCAUCUUAAAAAACCCAACUUGGUCAUGCUAUAUUUUUAUAAAAUACUAUGAUAUACCAUGUAGAACAUAUCAAAAUUUGGAAGCAAUCGGAUAUGUAGGUUGGGAGAUAUAAAAUCACAAAGCAGCCAACUUGGUAGCCCAGGACGGAAAAAUUUCCUAGCUCCGCCCUUGAACCCAAGGUUUGGCUUUGCUGCAUCUUAUCAAACAAGUUGAAGGAAAAAGGAGGUGCGGAAAGUGAUGAUGUUUUCAGUUUUGGGGUUGUGCUGCUUGCCUUCAACUCUUGACAGGAAGAAAGCCAAAGUCACUAGUUGAUGAGGUUUGGCUUGCUUGCUUGCUGCUUUAACUUUCUGAAAUUCCUAAUUAAUUACAAGCUGCAUAUUUGUUGAUGCAUGCAUGCAGGUAAGGGAUGCAAUUAAUAUAUAGUGAAAGGACGUGGAAAUUUAGGUGCCAUGGCGGAUCCAAACUUAAAACAGGAGUUUGUAUCAACCGAAUUUCGACAUAUAUUAUCAGUAACACUUGUUUGUACUGCUCCAUCUGAAAUUGACAGACCAAACAUGGGAGGGAGAAAUCCUACAUAAACUUGAGAAAACACAUAUUGCUGCUG
Molecule: long non-coding RNA, 1418 nt
Filed under: Panax ginseng (ginseng)
Lineage: Eukaryota; Viridiplantae; Streptophyta; Magnoliopsida; Apiales; Araliaceae
Description: long non-coding RNA (PGIN_LNC006474)
Source: RNAcentral